Molecule: ribosomal RNA, 808 nt
Filed under: uncultured bacterium
Lineage: Bacteria
Description: bacterial SSU rRNA
Rfam family: Bacterial small subunit ribosomal RNA
Source: RNAcentral
UNUGACUUGAGUGCAGAAGGGGAGAGUGGAAUUCCAUGUGUAGCGGUGAGAUGCGUAGAUAUAUGGAGGAACACCAGUGGCGAAAGCGGCUCUCUGGUCUGUCACUGACGCUGAGGCUCGAAAGCGUGGGUAGCGAACAGGAUUAGAUACCCUGGUAGUCCACGCCGUAAACGAUGAGUGCUAGGUGUUAGGCCCUUUCCGGGGCUUAGUGCCGGAGCUAACGCAAUAAGCACUCCGCCUGGGGAGUACGACCGCAAGGUUGAAACUCAAAGGGAUUGACGGGGGCCCGCACAAGCGGUGGAGCAUGUGGUUUAAUUCGAAGCAACGCGAAGAACCUUACCAGGUCUUGACAUCCCGAUGCUAUUCUUAGAGAUAGGAAGUUACUUCGGUACAUCGGAGACAGGUGGUGCAUGGUUGUCGUCAGCUCGUGUCGUGAGAUGUUGGGUUAAGUCCCGCAACGAGCGCAACCCUUAUUGUUAGUUGCCAUCAUUAAGUUGGGCACUCUAGCGAGACUGCCGGUAAUAAACCGGAGGAAGGUGGGGAUGACGUCAAAUCAUCAUGCCCCUUAUGACCUGGGCUACACACGUGCUACAAUGGUCGGUACAACGAGUUGCGAGCCGGUGACGGCAAGCUAAUCUCUGAAAGCCGAUCUCAGUUCGGAUUGGAGGCUGCAACUCGCCUCCAUGAAGUCGGAAUCGCUAGUAAUCGCGGAUCAGCACGCCGCGGUGAAUACGUUCCCGGGCCUUGUACACACCGCCCGUCACACCACGAGAGUUUGUAACACCCGAAGUCGGUGAGGUAACCUUUU